This 78-nucleotide transfer RNA is filed under the name Gammaproteobacteria bacterium. RNAcentral describes it as "tRNA-Leu". It matches the Rfam family "tRNA". From Rfam's summary of the family: Transfer RNA (tRNA) molecules are approximately 80 nucleotides in length. Their secondary structure includes four short double-helical elements and three loops (D, anti-codon, and T loops). Further hydrogen bonds mediate the characteristic L-shaped molecular structure. tRNAs have two regions of fundamental functional importance: the anti-codon, which is responsible for specific mRNA codon recognition, and the 3' end, to which the tRNAs corresponding amino acid is attached (by aminoacyl-tRNA synthetases). tRNAs cope with the degeneracy of the genetic code in two manners: having more than one tRNA (with a specific anti-codon) for a particular amino acid; and 'wobble' base-pairing, i.e. permitting non-standard base-pairing at the 3rd anti-codon position. The record is from RNAcentral. Lineage: Bacteria; Pseudomonadati; Pseudomonadota; Gammaproteobacteria.
GCCGACGUAGCCCAACCUGGUAGAGGCAACGGACUUAAAAUUCGUACAGUGUAGGUUCGACCCCUACCGUCGGUACCA